This 329-nucleotide unclassified non-coding RNA is filed under the name soil metagenome. RNAcentral describes it as "partial contains 5.8S ribosomal RNA, internal transcribed spacer 2, and large subunit ribosomal RNA". The stretch from base 1 to 120 matches the Rfam family "5.8S ribosomal RNA", at positions 35 to 154 of the family's 154-position model. The record is from RNAcentral.
GAUGAAGAACGCAGCGAAAUGCGAUAAGUAAUGUGAAUUGCAGAAUUCAGUGAAUCAUCGAAUCUUUGAACGCACAUUGCGCCCUCUGGUAUUCCGGGGGGCAUGCCUGUUCGAGCGUCAUUAUAACCACUCAAGCUCUCGCUUGGUAUUGGAGUUCGCGAUCUCGCGGCUCCUAAAAUCAGUGGCGGUGCCUGUCGGCUCUACGCGUAGUAAUACUCCUCGCGAUUGAGUCCGGUAGGUUUACUUGCCAGCAACCCCCAAUUUUUACAGGUUGACCUCGGAUCAGGUAGGGAUACCCGCUGAACUUAAGCAUAUCAAUAAGGGGAGGA